GACGAACGCUGGCGGCGUGCUUAACACAUGCAAGUCGAACGGAAAGGCCCUGCUUUUGUGGGGUGCCCGAGUGGCGAACGGGUGAGGAACACGUGAGUAACCUGCUCUUGAUUUUGGGAUAACUUCAGGAAACUGGGGCUAAUACCGGAUAGGAGCUCCUGCUGCAUGGAGGGGGGUGGAAAGUUUCGGCCGUCGGGGAUGGACGCGCGGCUUAACAGCUUGCUGGUGGGGGAGGGGCUGACCAAGGCAUUGACGGGUAGCCGGCCUGGGAGGGUGGACGCCCUCCUUACGCCUACGAUACGGAGCAGUCUCGUACAGGAGACAACGGUCGCAAAUCUUGCACAAUGGUCCCGCGCCUGAUGCGAAGGCGCCGCGUGCGUGAUGACGGCCUUCUGGUUGUAAACCGCUUUAGCCUAUGACGAAGCGUGAGUGACGGUAAUGAAUGAAGAAGCACCGGCUAACUACGUG
RNAcentral lists this ribosomal RNA (468 nucleotides) under uncultured bacterium. RNAcentral's name for it is "partial 16S ribosomal RNA". It matches the Rfam family "Bacterial small subunit ribosomal RNA", at positions 28 to 507 of the family's 1533-position model. The record is from RNAcentral.